This is a long non-coding RNA of Haliotis rubra (blacklip abalone), 301 nucleotides long. RefSeq lists it as uncharacterized. The record is from RefSeq and is a predicted model, not a curated record. Lineage: Eukaryota; Metazoa; Mollusca; Gastropoda; Lepetellida; Haliotidae. The transcript has 3 exons.
GUUAAUUUGGCAGCGUCAGGGUGCAGGAUGGAACAGCCGAGAAAGACCAGUGGCUACGGUUUCUAUCGCAGAUGUCAGAUACUCAGCGAUCUGACAGUACAUAUAGUUCGGACUACGUCGGUGGAUAGCACGGUGUGUCCGGAGUGGGAAGCUCCCUUUGUCCGACCAAGGCGCAAAGCGGAGAUAAGCGAACCAAGCGGAGAUAAGCGAACCAAGCGGAGAUAAGCGAACCAAUCGUCUACACUUGCCACCCGCCAGCUGACAUCUAAUUCUACUUCCACUUCAGAUGGAUGAGAAGACU